GAGUUUGAUCAUGGCUCAGAUUGAACGCUGGCGGCAGGCCUAACACAUGCAAGUCGGGCGGUAGAGAGAAGCUUGCUUCUCUUGAGAGCGGCGGACGGGUGAGUAAUGCCUAGGAAUCUGCCUGGUAGUGGGGGAUAACGCUCGGAAACGGACGCUAAUACCGCAUACGUCCUACGGGAGAAAGCAGGGGACCUUCGGGCCUUGCGCUAUCAGAUGAGCCUAGGUCGGAUUAGCUAGUUGGUGAGGUAAUGGCUCACCAAGGCGACGAUCCGUAACUGGUCUGAGAGGAUGAUCAGUCACACUGGAACUGAGACACGGUCCAGACUCCUACGGGAGGCAGCAGUGGGGAAUAUUGGACAAUGGGCGAAAGCCUGAUCCAGCCAUGCCGCGUGUGUGAAGAAGGUCUUCGGAUUGUAAAGCACUUUAAGUUGGGAGGAAGGGCAGUAAAUUAAUACUUUGCUGUUUUGACGUUACCGACAGAAUAAGCACCGGCUAACUCUGUGACAGCCGCCG
This 513-nucleotide ribosomal RNA is filed under the name uncultured bacterium. RNAcentral's name for it is "bacterial SSU rRNA". It matches the Rfam family "Bacterial small subunit ribosomal RNA", at positions 9 to 517 of the family's 1533-position model. The record is from RNAcentral.